RNAcentral lists this small RNA (127 nucleotides) under Marmota monax (woodchuck). The record is from RNAcentral. Lineage: Eukaryota; Metazoa; Chordata; Mammalia; Rodentia; Sciuridae.
GCCAGGUGUGGUGGUGCACGCCUGUAAUCCCAGCAGCUCAGGAGGCUGAGGCAGGAGGAUCAGGAGUUCAAAGCCAGUCUCAGCAAUUUUGUGAGGCCCUAAGAAACUCAGUGAGACCCUGUCUCAA